RNA transcript from Diospyros lotus (date-plum), 3410 nucleotides. It is a transcript of the gene named toMV susceptible protein tm-2-like, with no coding region annotated. The record is from RefSeq and is a predicted model, not a curated record. NCBI's taxonomy places the organism in Eukaryota, Viridiplantae, Streptophyta, Magnoliopsida, Ericales, Ebenaceae. The transcript has 4 exons.
UUUUCAAAGAGAAUGAAGUCUUGGUCUUGUGGUCUUUGUUUAAAAUUCCGGGAACUUGCUGGUGGGCUUCUUGGAAGUUGCUCUCCCUAUUUCUUCUUCUAGUAGAUUGAAGGUUGCUGCUGCCGGGAAAUCUAACAUGGCAGAAAUGCUUAUUUCAGGAGUUGUCCAAAAACUUGCCGAUAUAGCAGGUAAUCUAAUAGCAAAAGAAGGCUCUCGCUUGUCUGAGUUGAAAGAAAACAUUGUUUGGAUUGGAGAUGAGAUGAGGUGUGUUAAAUCUUUCUUGGAAGAUGCUGAUGAAGUAGAGUCAGAAAGCAGAGGAUUGGCUGACUUCAUCAGGAGCAUUUGGGAUCUUGCUUAUGAUUUGGAGGAUAUCGUGGAUGCGUACUUCCCUAAGCUAUCACCACUUAGAAGGAAUGACUGGAAGGGGCGUCUUGGUUGGUUUUUGAGAGCCAAAACUGUUCGUGACUUUGCGGUGGAGAUUGAAGAAAUAAGACGACGAGUUGAGGAUAUCAAUCGCAGGAGACAGACCUAUCAAGUCCAAGAUGCAAGUGGCCCUGCUGGAAGAGAGGUAUGGGAUCCAAGAAGAACUUUUCCUCACAUUGGCGAAGUAAAUGUUGUUGGUAUGGACGAACACAUUGAGGAAUUGGUGGCCGAAGUGUCGGAUGAAGAUUUAGAGCAUCGUGUGAUCUCAAUUACAGGUAUGGCCGGUCUAGGCAAGACAACACUGGCCAAAAAGGUAUAUAAUUUUGUUCGACAAAGAUUUCGGUGUUCAGCUUGGAUUUAUGUCUCUCAACAACCAAACCCAAAUGAACUUUUACAUGAUAUAGCAAGACAAGUUGGUUUGACUAGAGAGAAGUGCAGGCACAACUUAGUUGGGAACUUAUUCAAGAUUUUAAGCCAAAAAAGGUAUGUGAUAGUAAUUGAUGAUAUAUGGCAGAUUGACCCAUGGAAUGAUUUAAAAAAUGGCAUUCCUGUUAAUUCCAUAAAUGGAAGUAGAAUAAUCAUCACUUCCCGAUACAAAUAUAUAGGUGUACAAAUUGGUGGGCAACAUUUUUUACAUGAAUUGCAACCCUUGGACCAAGAAAAGAGUAAAGAGCUCUUCUUCAAAAUGGUUACGGCUGCCCCACAAGACGAUGAUGAAGAUGGUGAUUCCUCACAAUUGGAAAAUAUUGGUAAAAAAAUAAUUAAGAGAUGUGGCGGUGUGCCGCUUGCGAUAGUUGUCAUAGCAGGCCUAUUGUUAUCAAGAGAGAGAAACAUACACGCUUGGAAAGGGGUAUUAAAGAGUAUAGGUAAAGAUGAAGACCAAUGCUCAAAGAUCUUUGCUUUGAGCUACAAAGAUUUACCUCUAAUGUUGAAACAAUGUUUUUUAUACUUUGGUCUAUUUCCAGAGGAUCACAAAAUUUGCACAUUCCAACUAAUCAAUUUAUGGGCAGCUGAAGGAUUUAUACAUGGCAGUGGAGGAAGGGCAGUUGAGGAUGUGGGGCAAGAUUACCUAAAUCACUUAGUUGGUAGAAACCUAAUUCAAGUUGUUGAGAGGAGAUUCAACGGGACAAUUAGAUUUUGUCGUGUUCACGAUAUCUUGCAAGACCUCUGCAUUAGGAAGGCUAGGGAGGUGAACUUUUUUAACACUCUCAACGAUGUAGCCUCUUGUGCAGAUUGCCUUGCACCACGCAGAGUCACAACCUUUUUUCAAAGUGAUGCUGGCAACUACGCAUCUCCAAAUUAUCAAACUCCAAAGCUUCGGGCUUUCUUAUGUUUCGAUUAUUUGACAAGUGAUAGUGGGAAGCAGGUUAAGCUUUGUCUUAGAAGUUUCAAAUCUCUUCGGGUGCUAAUAAUAUGGCACUACUCUCCGCAGAUAGCUCUUAUGAAUGAAAUUGCGAAGUUAAUACAGCUGUCUCACCUUCUUUUGGGAGGGCAUAUUGUGGAGCUUCCUUACGCCAUAAGCAAUUUGAAAAAUUUGCUCACCUUGGAUCUACGUGGAUGCCUCGAAGUCAUCAUCCCUGAUGUCAUCUGGAAAAUGAAGCAACUUAGACAUAUUCUAUUACCUUUUGAAUGUCGGGCUCCUUCAGUUUGUGGGGUCAAGUUGGAUGGCCAUAGGGGCCAUCCGUUUGAAGUUUCUUUACCAGAACUACAGACCUUCUUUGGAUUGCCUGUCAAAAUUUUCGAGGCCAAUUGGUUGAACAAACUUGAUAGUUUGAGAAGACUGAAAGCCUAUUUUACAACUGAGCAUAUCAUUGAGGUAUUGUCAAGUGCUAACUCCCUGUCACAGAGGCUAGAAGAAUUGCAUUUAUCAUCGCUAUACCAUACAAAAUAUACUUAUAUGGCUCAGGGAUUAUUUACUGAAUUUAGAUCAACAUUGGAUCUGUCUAAAUAUGUAAGCCUUGGUAAGUUACUCCUGUGCCGGAGCCGCAUGGUUGAUUUUCCACGACAUGAUAAACUGCCAACAUGCCUCACAGAGCUUAUCCUUGAGUACACUAUGCUGGAAAUGGACCCAAUGGUGACUUUGAAGAAACUACCUAGACUUAAGAUCCUUAUACUUGGAUUUCAAUCAUACUUUGGGAAGAAGAUGGUAUGCUCUGGAGAAGCUGACAGCUUUCCUCAACUCAAAGUAUUGAAAAUUGAUGCAUUUAAUCUAGAGGAGUUUGUAGCUGAGGAAGAAGCAAUGCCCAAACUCAAGAACUUUACCCUCACUCACUGCAUACCGAGAAUGAGAGUUCCAGAUAGAAUCAGAAAUAAAAUCAUGAUUGCCCCAGUAAUAAUAGAAAACACCUUGGUUGCAGAGGGGGCACCUGGUUAUCCAUGUGAUCCGUGACUUCAUUUUGGAAGGUUAAAGCACCAUCUAAAGGAUGAUGAAUAUAUGGGCUCUUGAUCUUCGGAUUGCUUGCUCCUCAAUCUAUUCUUGCGACAUGAUGUCUUUCGGUUGAUUGCUUCCCGUUUAUUGGUGGAAGCUCUAUCUUUUCUCCUCUGAUCGUUUUAGUGACGUGAUUGCUUUUGGUUGAUUUCUUAUAAGAAGGCAUACCAUCUGCUCUGUAAUUUGGUGUUCCGGUGGCCGUGUGUCUUCAACUGAUCAAUAAGAAUUGAUUGUGUCAUUGAAAAUAAACCAUCUGCAGCUGGAUCAACUCGUUGCCCAAUGCCAUCUUCUUCAUGCAUGGCCCCCCAUUCUGAAAACACUCUUUUAACUCCCUUAUAUGAUCAAAUGCCAGAGAUAUCAAUCUGUUUAUCAAACUCAUGGCCACAUGGAUGUUGGGUCCUGUUCAACUAAGUUGUAGAUAAACUUGCAGAGUAUUAGGCUUGAAGUAGGAUAUGGCUCACUUGUGCUGGAGCUUUGCUUAAUUCCAGCCAUUGUAAAGCAGCCCUUACACAUCUAUGGUUGUGGCAAAACCAACUGUAUGCCUUUUCAAAUGUUUGUA